RNAcentral lists this ribosomal RNA (429 nucleotides) under Triticum aestivum (bread wheat). RNAcentral's name for it is "partial small subunit ribosomal RNA". The record is from RNAcentral. Lineage: Eukaryota; Viridiplantae; Streptophyta; Magnoliopsida; Poales; Poaceae.
GCUUUGGCAUCUUAUCUUAGAAGAGAAAAUCUGAUAUCCGAUACAAGAAUUAAGGUGGAGGAGAAGUUGGCAUUUUUCCUGUACAUGGUGUCUCACAAUGCAUCUUAUGAAGAUCUCCAGCUAGAAUUUCAGCAUAGUGGACAAACAUUUCAUGAGUACAUCAAUGAGUUCUUCAACAUCAUCCCCAUCUUAGCUAGUCGAUUUCUAAAUCCUCCGAACAUUGAUGAGCCACAUCCAAAAAUCUCCACCGACACAAGAUUUUAUCCUUACUUCCAGAACUGUUUAGGAGCCAUUGAUGGGUCACAUGUUCCUAUAACCGCAACACCUGGGAUUGCUGCUCCAUUUCGGAAUAGGAAGGGUACCUUGAAUCAUAAUAUUAUGGUUGCAUGCGACUUCGAUUUAAAAUUCACUUUCAUAUCAUGUGGCUGG